CGCCUGGCUGGCGCAGGACGCCGACGGCUGGCAGCUGUCGCACCUGUGCGUGCGCAAGCUCACCCGCGGCCGCGGCGUGGCCGCCCGCC
This 89-nucleotide transfer RNA is filed under the name compost metagenome. Its description in RNAcentral is "tRNA-Ala". The record is from RNAcentral.